UUGGACGCAUUUCCCUCCGCCCUUGGACGCCGCGGCCCGCGGGAGUCGCCGGCCGCGUCAAAGUCUGUCGGGAGGUCGCCUAAUCAGGGCCGGGACUGCGGGGGAGGCGGCCGGCGGUGAGUAGGUCGGUCACCCACCCGACCCGUCUUGAAACACGGACCAAGGAGUGCGACGCGUGCGCGAGUCGUCGGGUCUUGAUCAGGCCCGCAGGCGCAGCUAACUCGUGGUUGGGAUUCCCGGGACGCACCAGCGGCCCGGUCGGAGUCUGAGCGCACGCGUUGCGACCCGAAAGGUGGUGAGCUAUGCUUGGGCAGGUCGAAGCCAGAGGAAACUCUGGUGGAGGACCGUAGCGGUUCUGACGUGCAAAUCGAUCGUCAGACUCGAGUAUAGGGGCGUUAGACCAAUCGAACCACCUAGUAGCUGGUUCCCUCCGAAGUUUCCCUCAGGAUAGCUGGCGUCGGAGCAUUCGUUCCUGGUAAAGCGAA
RNAcentral lists this ribosomal RNA (485 nucleotides) under Leptonetela lianhua. Its description in RNAcentral is "partial large subunit ribosomal RNA". It matches the Rfam family "Eukaryotic large subunit ribosomal RNA", at positions 593 to 1017 of the family's 3401-position model. Lineage: Eukaryota; Metazoa; Arthropoda; Arachnida; Araneae; Leptonetidae. The record is from RNAcentral.